RNAcentral lists this microRNA precursor (198 nucleotides) under Oryza barthii. RNAcentral describes it as "MIR812 microRNA precursor family". It matches the Rfam family "MIR812 microRNA precursor family". Lineage: Eukaryota; Viridiplantae; Streptophyta; Magnoliopsida; Poales; Poaceae. The record is from Rfam by way of RNAcentral.
AAUAAGUGCAGCCGUGGAUAUCCGUGUCCAACGUUUGACCGUCCGUCUUAUUUGAAAAAUUAAUGAAAAAAUUAGUCACACAUAAAGUACUAUUUAUGUUUUAUCAUCUAAUAGCAAUAAAAAUACUAAUCAUAAAAAAAUUUCAAAUAAGACGAACAGUCAAACGUUGAACGUGAAUAGUGCAAAACUGCACUUAUU